This 747-nucleotide ribosomal RNA is filed under the name Blochmannia endosymbiont of Camponotus sanctaefidei. Its description in RNAcentral is "bacterial SSU rRNA". It matches the Rfam family "Bacterial small subunit ribosomal RNA", at positions 439 to 1177 of the family's 1533-position model. Lineage: Bacteria; Pseudomonadati; Pseudomonadota; Gammaproteobacteria; Enterobacterales; Enterobacteriaceae. The record is from RNAcentral.
AUGGGGAAGAAUUUAAUAUUGCUAAUAUCAAUAUUAANNNNCGUUACCCAUAUAAGAAGCACCGGCUAACUCCGUGCCAGCAGCCGCGGUAAUACGGAGGGUGCAAGCGUUAAUCGGAAUUACUGGGCGUAAAGAGUACGUAGGUGGUUUAUUAAGUCAAAUGUGAAAUCCCUGAGCUUAACUUAGGAACUGCAUUUGAAACUGAUAAGCUAGAGUUUCGUAGAGGGGGGUAGAAUUCCAGGUGUAGCGGUGAAAUGCGUAGAGAUCUGGAGGAAUACCAGUGGCGAAGGCGGCCCCCUGGACGAAGACUGACACUCAGGUACGAAAGCAUGGGGAGCAAACAGGAUUAGAUACCCUGGUAGUCCAUGCUGUAAACGAUGUCGAUUUGAAGGUUGUAACCUUUGAGUUGUAACUUUCGAAGCUAACGCGUUAAAUCGACCGCCUGGGGAGUACGACCGCAAGGUUAAAACUCAAAUGAAUUGACGGGGGCCCGCACAAGCGGUGGAGCAUGUGGUUUAAUUCGAUGCAACACGAAGAACCUUACCUACUCUUGACAUCCAAAGAACUGCGUAGAGAUAUGCAGGUGCCUUCGGGAACUUUGAGACAGGUGCUGCAUGGCUGUCGUCAGCUCGUGUUGUGAAAUGUUGGGUUAAGUCCCGCAACGAGCGCAACCCUUAUCCUUUGUUGCCAACGAGUUAAGUCGGGAACUCAAAGGAGACUGCCGGUGAUAAACCGGAGGAAGGUGAG